This 371-nucleotide ribosomal RNA is filed under the name uncultured bacterium. RNAcentral describes it as "bacterial SSU rRNA". It matches the Rfam family "Bacterial small subunit ribosomal RNA", at positions 527 to 896 of the family's 1533-position model. The record is from RNAcentral.
AGAGGUCUCGAGCGUUAGGCGGAAUCACUGGGCUUAAAGCGUGUGUAGGCGGAUCGUUAAGUGCCUUGUGAAAUCCCACGGCUCAACCGUGGAACUGCUUGGCAUACUGGCGGUCUUGAGCAACCUAGGGGCGAGCGGAACAAAUGGUGGAGCGGUGAAAUGCGUAGAUAUCAUUUGGAACGCCAAUGGUGAAAACAGCUCGCUGGGGGUUUGCUGACGCUGAGACACGAAAGCCAGGGGAGCAAACGGGAUUAGAUACCCCGGUAGUCCUGGCCCUAAACGAUGUCCACUAGAUCGUAGCGCCUCUGACGGUGUUAUGGUCGAAGCAAAAGUGCUAAGUGGACCGCCUGGGAAGUACGGUCGCAAGGCUA